CCGAGAAUAGUUUAGGUUAAAAUAUUAACUUUGGGAGUUAAAGAUGAGAGUAGAAUUUUUUUUUUGAA
Molecule: transfer RNA, 68 nt
Filed under: Homola orientalis
Lineage: Eukaryota; Metazoa; Arthropoda; Malacostraca; Decapoda; Homolidae
Description: tRNA-Pro
Rfam family: tRNA
About the family: Transfer RNA (tRNA) molecules are approximately 80 nucleotides in length.
Source: RNAcentral